Molecule: small nuclear RNA, 103 nt
Organism: Otolemur garnettii (small-eared galago)
Lineage: Eukaryota; Metazoa; Chordata; Mammalia; Primates; Galagidae
Source: Ensembl
UCACUUUGGCAGUGUAUAUACUAAAAUUAGAACUAUAUAGAGAAGAUUAGCAUGGUCGCUGUGCAAGGAUGACGUGCAAAUUAGUAAAGUGUUCCAUAUUUUU